Long non-coding RNA from Entelurus aequoreus (snake pipefish), 829 nucleotides. RefSeq lists it as uncharacterized. The record is from RefSeq and is a predicted model, not a curated record. The transcript is spliced from 4 exons. Lineage: Eukaryota; Metazoa; Chordata; Actinopteri; Syngnathiformes; Syngnathidae.
UUAGACAAUAUGAUUUGCCUGAGUGGCUAGGAUACACAGAGAGUAACAAGUGGUAGAAAAUGGAUUAGAAAGGACAUAUUUUAAAAAAUGAUAAUAAUAAUAAUUUUAAAAAAAAACUAUUAUUAUUAUUAUUUUCUUUUUUUAACUUGGGACUUCCCGCAGGCCGGAUUUUGGACGCUGGCGGGCCGUAGUUUGGGAACCCCUGUGCUACAGAGUGGUUGCCUUGAAGAUGGAUAGCAGAGAAAUGGAGCAAUCUUCCUCAAACACCUGCGUUGAUCUGGAAUACAUCCUAAAAGGGCUGGACUUACUGUCUGAUUGCAUGGAUCAACUAGCAUUGCAAAUACAGCUUAAGCUGUGUGAUCUGAUCGUUUCUGUCGGCCACCCUGACAAGCUGGGACACCUGAAAGUCCAGGAGGCACCGAAUCAGCUGCCGCAAGCUUCACCUGUGACUGAUGUAUGAAAAACAGAGAUUUAAGCAUGAUGUGAGAGGACCUUAUUUACUUCUUUAAGAGCGGCAUCUCCACACCAGCUGGGAGCCAAAGUUUGAAACCACAGUACAACUAAGACACAGUAAUAGGACCUACAUAAAUGAACUUAACAAAAUGAUAAGGUACACGGGUCACCUUUAACACUUGUGUGUUAUGGCAUUGCUUUGACAAUAGCACCAUCUGCUGCUCAGUUUUUGUACGUGCUUGUAGUUAAACCAAUUCUUUGGAAUGUGAUUUAAAUGAAGGCUAUAUUUAUUUCCAGAUGGUGAACAAAUACUCUAACUUUUACCUAGUAGUGCACAUAUGCAGUAGAUUACAGCCUAACAAAAACACUGCAUGAG